CGGCAAUGAAUAUCUCAGCUCUCGCAUCGAUGAAGAGCACAGCAAAAUGCAAUACAUUGUGUGAAUUGCAGAAUCCUAUGAACUAUCAAGUCUUUGAAUGCAAGUUGUACCCAAGGCCAACCGGCCAAGGGCACGUCUGCCUGGGCGUCAAGCGUUGUGUUUC
RNAcentral lists this ribosomal RNA (163 nucleotides) under Bulbophyllum delitescens. RNAcentral describes it as "5.8S ribosomal RNA". It matches the Rfam family "5.8S ribosomal RNA". From Rfam's summary of the family: 5.8S ribosomal RNA (5.8S rRNA) is a component of the large subunit of the eukaryotic ribosome. Lineage: Eukaryota; Viridiplantae; Streptophyta; Magnoliopsida; Asparagales; Orchidaceae. The record is from RNAcentral.